RNAcentral lists this ribosomal RNA (279 nucleotides) under uncultured bacterium. RNAcentral describes it as "partial 16S ribosomal RNA". It matches the Rfam family "Bacterial small subunit ribosomal RNA", at positions 334 to 610 of the family's 1533-position model. The record is from RNAcentral.
UCCCCCUACGGGGCGCAGCAGUGAGGAAUAUUGGUCAAUGGACGCAAGUCUGAACCAGCCAUGCCGCGUGCAGGAAGACGGCUCUAUGAGUUGUAAACUGCUUUUGUACGAGGGUAAAUGCAGGUACGUGUAUCUGUUUGAAAGUAUCGUACGAAUAAGGAUCGGCUAACUCCGUGCCAGCAGCCGCGGUAAUACGGAGGAUCCCAGCGUUAUCCGGAUUUAUUGGGUUUAAAGGGUGCGUAGGCGGGUUUAUAAGUUAGAUGUGAAAUCCCGGGGCUC